UACGGAGGAUGCGAGCGUUAUCCGGAUUUAUUGGGUUUAAAGGGUGCGUAGGCGGUCCGUUAAGUCAGCGGUAAAAUUGCGGGGCUCAACCCCGUCGAGCCGUUGAAUCUGUCAGACUUGAGUUGGCGAGAAGUACGCGGAAUGCGCGGUGUAGCGGUGAAAUGCAUAGAUAUCGCGCAGAACUCCGAUUGCGAAGGCAGCGUACCGGCGCCACACUGACGCUGAGGCACGAAAGCGUGGGGAUCGAACAGG
Molecule: ribosomal RNA, 252 nt
Filed under: uncultured bacterium
Lineage: Bacteria
Description: partial 16S ribosomal RNA
Rfam family: Bacterial small subunit ribosomal RNA
Source: RNAcentral